RNAcentral lists this ribosomal RNA (253 nucleotides) under uncultured bacterium. Its description in RNAcentral is "partial 16S ribosomal RNA". It matches the Rfam family "Bacterial small subunit ribosomal RNA", at positions 524 to 776 of the family's 1533-position model. The record is from RNAcentral.
UACGUAGGGAGCAAGCGUUGUCCGGAAUCAUUGGGCGUAAAGCGCGCGUAGGUGGCCUCAUAAGUCCGCUGUGAAAGUCAAAGGCUCAACCUUUGAAAGCCGGUGGAUACUGUGAGGCUAGAGUACGGAAGAGGCGAGUGGAAUUCCUGGUGUAGCGGUGGAAUGCGCAGAUAUCAGGAGGAACACCAAUAGCGAAGGCAGCUCGCUGGGACGUUACUGACACUGAGGCGCGAAAGCGUGGGGAGUGAACAGG